UACGGAGGGGGCGAGCGUUGUUCGGAAUUACUGGGCGUAAAGGGCGCGUAGGCGGCCUUCUAAGUCGAACGUGAAAUCCCCGGGCUCAACCCGGGAACUGCGUCCGAUACUGGCAGGCUUGAAUUCGGGAGAGGGAUGCGGAAUUCCCGGUGUAGCGGUGAAAUGCGUAGAUAUCUGGAGGAAUACCGGUGGCGAAGGCGGCAUCCUGGACCAUAACUGACGCUGAGGCGCGAAAGCUAGGGGAGCAAACGGG
Molecule: ribosomal RNA, 253 nt
Filed under: uncultured bacterium
Lineage: Bacteria
Description: partial 16S ribosomal RNA
Rfam family: Bacterial small subunit ribosomal RNA
Source: RNAcentral